Molecule: ribosomal RNA, 253 nt
Filed under: uncultured bacterium
Lineage: Bacteria
Description: partial 16S ribosomal RNA
Rfam family: Bacterial small subunit ribosomal RNA
Source: RNAcentral
UACGAGGGGGGCAAGCGUUGUUCGGAUUUAUUGGGCGUAAAGGGUGCGUAGGCGGUUUGGCAAGUCUUGUGUGAAAUCUUUGGGCUCAACCCAAAGCCUGCACGAGAAACUGCCGGGCUUGAGUAUGGGAGAGGUGAGUGGAAUUUCCGGUGUAGCGGUGAAAUGCGUAGAUAUCAGGAGGAACACCGGUGGCGAAGGCGGAUCUCUGGGCCUUACCUGACGCUCAGGUGCGAAAGCUAGGGGAGCGAACAGG